Molecule: ribosomal RNA, 424 nt
Filed under: uncultured prokaryote
Description: bacterial SSU rRNA
Rfam family: Bacterial small subunit ribosomal RNA
Source: RNAcentral
UGGGGAAUAUUGGACAAUGGGCGCAAGCCUGAUCCAGCCAUGCCGCGUGGGUGAAGAAGGCCUUAGGGUUGUAAACCCCUUUCACCGGUGACGAUGAUGACGGUAGCCGGAGAAGAAGCCCCGGCUAACUCCGUGCCAGCAGCCGCGGUAAUACGGAGGGGGCAAGCGUUGUUCGGAUUUACUGGGCGUAAAGGGCGCGUAGGCGGGGUAUCCAGUUAGGGGUGAAAGCCCGGGGCUCAACCUCGGAACUGCCUUUAAAACUGAUACUCUAGAGUCCGGAAGAGGGUCGCGGAAUUCCCAGUGUAGAGGUGAAAUUCGUAGAUAUUGGGAAGAACACCGGUGGCGAAGGCGGCGACCUGGUCCGGUACUGACGCUGAGGCGCGAAAGCGUGGGGAGCAAACAGGAUUAGAUACCCCCGUAGUCC